Pelobates cultripes (western spadefoot toad) is the source of this 266-nucleotide non-coding RNA. The record is from the annotation of a GenBank genome assembly. Lineage: Eukaryota; Metazoa; Chordata; Amphibia; Anura; Pelobatidae.
GUUCUGGUGAUUGAUCGAUGCAAUCAUUAGUCAGCGUAGACCCCUGCUUCCUUUCACAACGUAGCACGUUAAACCUGCUGACGUUUUGCAACAGGCUUCCCAUCAUCAAAGCGGAAAGACAGGAAGACAUAACUGAGAGGAAGGAAGUGAAGAGGAGGCAGCCAGAGAGUCUGUUAUUGCAGCUGAGUGACGAAAUGGAAAAGACCUGCUCGUUCUGCUGAAAUUAUAGGAAGAUAUUUCCUGUUCUCAGCAACGGCAACGAAAAG